This 1082-nucleotide long non-coding RNA is filed under the name Phasianus colchicus (ring-necked pheasant). RNAcentral describes it as "lncRNA (ENSPCLG00000003561.1)". Lineage: Eukaryota; Metazoa; Chordata; Aves; Galliformes; Phasianidae. The record is from RNAcentral.
CUGGUGUCUCAUGCAGCUGAUCAAAGCCAGGGAGUGGUAGGGGUUUAUUUCCUCUCAGGUUUGUUUUCGUGGCUGUGGGACCCCUAAUUGUCACGGGUUCGUUAUAUCCCACAGUGAGCGUGUGGCACAUGCCAUGGGACUGGCUCAGCCAUCACUGCAUGGAAGGAGGCUGUCUCCAUCCCGUGGAGUCCUACGGCACCACUGUGUGUCCUAUGGCAUGAUCAGGAGUUCUUUGGCACCCCUGGGAGUCUCAUGGCACCAUUGGGAGUCCUAUGGCAUGAUCAGGAGUCCUUUGGCACCACUGGGUGCCCCAUGGCACAAUUGAGAGUUCCAUGGCACCACUAGGUGCCCCAUGGCAUCACUGGGAGUCGUGUGGCACCAUUGGGCAUCCUGUGGCAUGACUUGGAGUCUUUGGCACCACUGGGUGCCCCAUGGCACCACUGAAUGAUGAAGGGGCUGCAGACGCGCACGGCUGUGAGCUUUAUAACAUUGACAUCAUUUCUGAUGGGGCUCGUCGAGCAGAGGAAGAAAAGGAGCUCCAUCUCCCCUCCAAUCCAUGAACUGGUGGCAUUUCCUACAGCAGUGCCAAGAUGUUUCCGAUACGAUGCGUUGCCGCGAUACGCCGCGACGGAGAUGCAUCCCAGCCAACACAGGGCUGUUGUGUCUUAUUGUGCAUCUUAUCCAUCUCCUGUCCCCUCCAUAGUGCCCAGGACCCCUCGAUGCCUCCUGCACUGCUUUAUAUAGGUCACCCCACGCUCAGCAGCAACGCUGGCAGCGGGGGAGGUUGGACUUCACACUCUUGCUCUGCGAGCUGCUUUUCUAGGUCACCAACCCACAGCGGUGCAUUAAAAUAGAGCCUCUCCCUUGCCUGUUCCCCGCGGCCGUGGGUUGUGAUGCUACGGCUGCUGCAGCCGCCAGCCAAGGGAAAAGGGGUGCAGGGUGAUGGGCUGCCAACCAGAUCCACCCUGAUCCCAGCAAUGUGUGCUGUGGGCUGGGCAGGGUGAUGCUGCGCUCUGAAAUGAUGGGAUCCUGGAGCGCAUGGGCACACCAAGGGGUCCUCUGACCCAAAGCUGGUCCCAUCC